Molecule: unclassified non-coding RNA, 259 nt
Filed under: Clostridioides difficile
Lineage: Bacteria; Bacillati; Bacillota; Clostridia; Peptostreptococcales; Peptostreptococcaceae
Description: 16S-23S ribosomal RNA intergenic spacer (ISR)
Source: RNAcentral
GCCUACUGUUUAAUUUUGAGGGUUCGUUUUUACGAAUACUCAAAAGUAGCACUUUAAGCAACGGAAUUUAUUCGUUGGCGCUGUGCAUUAGCACUUUAAGCAACGGAAUUUAUUCGUUGGCGCUGUGUGUUAGCACUUUGAAAACUGCAUAUAUAUAUUUAGUGAUAUGACAUCUAAUUUGUAAUAUAUAAAGCUGAUAACUUUUUAAAAUUAUCGAAGUUGAUAGCUUCUAAUCUAUCAAACCUUUUUAACUGGUCAA